This 12338-nucleotide long non-coding RNA is filed under the name Capsicum annuum. RNAcentral's name for it is "long non-coding RNA (CANN_LNC017707)". Lineage: Eukaryota; Viridiplantae; Streptophyta; Magnoliopsida; Solanales; Solanaceae. The record is from RNAcentral.
UCUCUUCUGAUAUUGACAUUGAAGACCACCAAACUCAGGUGCAACUUUACUCCUUUUCCAUCAUCUAACCAAAAUUUGAUAACAGUACUUGAACUAAAAAUCAUAAAAAUUAUUUGUCCUGAACAUAUGAAAAGUCAUCCAAAAGAGUUAAAGGGUCGUUUGGUAGGGAGCAUAUGAAUAGUGUAAAAUUUAAUGUAUUAGUAAUGGUAGUAUUGAUGUUUUUCGGGUACAAACUAUGUAUUGAAUACUCAGUUUUACUUUCCCUCCAUCUUUUAUUCAUAUUUCAUCACUUAUAUUCAUAUUUCAUCACUUAGAACUCAAUAAGUGCUCUCUCCAUCUCAAAUUACUCGUUUCAAAUUAAGAUGACAUAUUGAUUAAAAAAUAUAAUUAAUAACAUACCUAGUUUAUUAUAGUAUCCCUAUUAAAUGAUGUUUACAUUUUAAUUUAAAGAAAAAGUAAUUAAUACAAAGGGUAAAACAUAAAAAUUUUCUUUUGUCUCUUCUUGAUUAAUAAAAAAAAAAAAUAAGUAAAAUGAGAAAUCAAAUUAAAAAUUUUGGGACGGAGGGAGUAUUAUUUUGUUUGCAUUAAUUAUACUUGAGUAAAUACAUAAUUAAUCCCUGAUGUUGGUUGAGAUUUUCAAAAAAAACACCUAAAUUUUAACAUCGAUGUAUUACCCCACAAUUCUUCUUUAUUUCGUUGUAAACGCAUCAUUUUUUGUUGAAUCUCAGUUACAACAAAAUGAGUGAAGACGUGCGCCAAUCAGGUGCUGCCAUGUGUCAACUAUAUUUGAUUUCAUAUUUUUACCCCAUCAGCAUCUCCCCCUAACCCCCCAACUCCGUCAGCAUACAUUCCCUUUUUUUUUCUUUUUGUUCAAAUCACUUCAAAAAAUAAUUUUAUGAUUGAAUUGAAAGUUUUAUGAUUGAAUUGAGUUUUAAAGAUAGUUAAAUGAUAUGAUCUACCUGAAAAUAGAGUUUUAAUGAUAUGAUUUAAAAAUAAAAAAACUUCAAUGGAGGAACUUUAAUGGUGACAUUGUGUUGAAGAGUUUUAAUGGUGUUGAAGAAGACAUUGUGUUGAAGAAGAAAUGAUUGGUAGUUAAAUGAUAUGAUUUAAUUGUAAAAUGGAGUUUUAAUGAAUGCUUUUGUUUUAAAAAAAAAAUUCAAUGGAAGCUUUAAUGGGGAAUUGAGUUGAAGAAAAAAGAGUGGAUGGAUUGGGGGCGGAGAGGGGGUAGGGAUAAUUUACUAAUGUUACCAAUCGUGUUAUAUUGUUCCUGAUUCAACUGCUUUGCUCGGAAGCACAAAGUGGUAGACAAUUUCAUAUUAAUUUGUGGAAUGAUUAUUGUCUCAUUAUAUGAUUUUGGAGAACUUCUUUUAACUAGUUUUUAAGGUUGAGUUUCGACAAACAUGUAUGAUGUAAUUUUGAGCAAUCCUUACUAAAAGCUAAGUUAGUCUAACCCAAUAUUCCAUUUCUAAACAAGUAACGAAACUUUCAGAAUGAACAAUUUCUCUUACCUUAUUGUUUAUUAUUCAGUGUGCAAUUCUUUGUUAGGUGGUGAAAGGAGCUAACAGGAGGCUCUUGCCCUAUGUAGGUAAAUCAUCAAUUUCUCAACCUAUUAUCAUAAUUAAAAAGGAAAAGAAUAGAGUCCGUUUAAGUUAAUUGAUAAAGUUUAAGUGCUGAAAAGUAUUUUUAAAUGGUGAAAUUGAUUUUACAAAUAAGUGGUUAUAUUUGUUAAUAUUUGGAUAGAAAUAUUGAAGCAAAUAAUAAUCAACGUUUUGUUAGAAAGUAUCGAUAAAAUAUAUUUUUUUUUGGGUAAAGCGACUAAAAUACCCAUAGAACUUCUACAAAAACUAUAGAUUUACAAGUAUCCUUUCAAAUAAAAAGGGAAAAUACAUGUACAAAAUGAAGAGAAAAAACUAGGAAUUUUAUUUUGAAUCAUAUUGCUAGAAUUAGAAAAAAUAUUAAAGAUAGAACAAUAAUUUUAUUUUUGUUAAACUAAAAAUGCUUAUUAGCGGAACAAUCGUUAGUUAAGACUUAAGAAUGAUCAACUUAUGACCUUUGAGUAGUGAUUUUAUAAAUCAUCGUUUGACCAACUUAUAAGUUUAGUCAAACAUUAUUUUUCUUUGGCAAAAUGACGUUCUGGAUCCUGUACUAUGUUCGUUUUGUAAGUUAGACACUUCUAUUUACAUAUUUAUCAUCUGCACCCUUGAACCCACUAAAAAACAAUAUUUUAAACCCUUUGAUCGUUGACCUGAUCUAUGUGGCAUUAAAAUUUCUGACUAGGAUCAAAUUCGUGUAGUCAUGCGUGUAUGAGUGACUGAAGCACGUUUUUUCAGCUUUUUAAAUUUAAAAAUAUUUUUAAAAAUUUUAAAAAUAAUUCUUUUUAAAAAUUCAAUAUUUUUUCAGUUUUUAAAAUUUAAAAAUGUUUUUUAAAAAUUAAAAAAAAAUAUUUAAAAAAUAAAUANNNNNNNNNNNNNNNNNNNNNNNNNNNNNNNNNNNNNNNNNNNNNNNNNNNNNNNNNNNNNNNNNNNNNNNNNNNNNNNNNNNNNNNNNNNNNNNNNNNNNNNNNNNNNNNNNNNNNNNNNNNNNNNNNNNNNNNNNNNNUCUCCUCAUCCCCCCACCCCGUCUUUCACCCUCCCCCAAGAAACACAACCAUCAACACCAGCGUUCCGCCCCCCAUCCCACUACAGCAUUACAAAAUCUCAUCAAGACCACAACAUUACAAAACCCAAUUACAAAAGUUUUUUUUCUCUUCGAUUCCAUUAGCAACAGCUUUGGUCAAUUUUGUGUUAAAUUUCAUCCACCCUCACCCUAUGUACAACCCUGUCUAACGCCCCUUCUUCACAACAGCCUCCUCCAGCAACCAUGACAACCUUCAACAUUUUUUUUUUAAAAGAGUCAAGUGGCUUUCCGCUCCUCUCCCGGUCCAGUAGUUCCGGAACAAAAGGAUCAAAACCUUCCACGCCGGAAUGAGAGGUCGAUGGCCUUCUUUCUAUUCGAAUUUGAACCCGAAGUAGGAUUCGAACUUAAAAUGGUGAAAUCAUUAAGAUGAAAAUUGAAUAUUCAAGAUUAUGAAAAAAAUGGGUAAGUAAUGGAAACUCAAAUUUUUUGCAAUGGUGAUGGAAAAAGAAAAGAUACCUUUAGGUGAAAGAAAAUGGGGAUUGUAAUGGUGCCAGUGGAAGGGGGAGGGAAGCGGGUGGCUUUUAUGUUAUUUUAAUUUUUUUUAAAAUUGUUUUAAUGUAAUUAUGAUAAAAAAAAAAAUCAAAUUUGAAAAUUCAUUUUUAAACUUUUCCUCUCAAUUCAAAUCUUUUCAUAUUUUAUUUUUAGAAUUUUUCCUUUCAAUUCAAAUCUUUUCAUAUUUUUUUGGAAUUAAAAUUUAAAUUUGAAAAUUUUUCAUAUUUUUUGGGACUAAAAUUUAAAUUUGAAUCGAAAGUGAGUGAUAGUAGAUAUUGAAAAAUUAGUGAAUUUUAUGAAUAAAUUUGAAAAAACUUAAAGCUUUUGUGAAUUUAUUAAAGAUAUUCAAAUUUAAAAAUUGAAAAUUCAUUAUGUUUGUAUAUAUGAAUUUAUAGUUAAAAAUUUAAAUUAGUUGGAGAAGAAUUUUAAUUAGUUAGAAUGAAUUUGAUGUUUAAUUUGUAAGGAAAAAUAAAAACAUGAUUAUUUAAAAUUUUCUACAAUUUAUAAUUUUUUUUAUUUAAUUAAAUUAACUUUAAUAUUUAAUUUGUUAUGUAACAUUUUAAAAAUGUCUUGAAAUUUAAUGAAAUACUUGAAAAUGACGUGACAGAUAACGUGGCACACGUGACAGUUGAUGUGGCAGCUGGCGUGGGAGUGUGUUACACUCUCCAAAAAAGUAUUUAAAAUAUUGUUUUUUAGUGGAUUCAGGGGUCCAGAUGACAAACAUGUAAAUAGAAGUGUCCAACUUACAAAAUGGAUAUAGUUCAGAGGUUCAGAAGGUCAUUUUGCCUUUUUCUUUAAAAAGAGUGUUUUAGGGACUAUUUUGGGAAACCCAGAUUGUGGAGGACUGUGCAAAGUGAGAUGCAGCCGGCACUCAAUGCCAAAUUUAUGCAGCAGGCAUGUGGGACUUGCUGUGUGAGGUGCAAAUGUGUUCCACCAGGCACUUAUGGUAACAGAAGUUUGUGGCAAGUGCUACAGACACAUGACUACUCAUGGAAGCAAGACCAAGUGCCCUUAAUUAAGGCUACUAUAGUACUCAAUCUUGUCUACAAUUUUCCCAAGUUUUUAGAAGAAACAGUGAGAAUAUGUGUUUUGAGAUGAUGUAAUGUUGUGAUGGUGGUCCUCUAAUACAGAGAAGUUUUGUUUAGGUUUACAAUUUUAAUGUUCGAUGUUUUAAUCUUCACGACUAGUCUGUUUUUGUUGAAUCGCACCUUAUAAUUCACAAGUCAAGUUUAAAGUAAUGUUCUUAAAUUUAUACCAUCAAUUCAGAAAAGAGAGGUUUUGAGUGACUAUUAUAUUAUUUUUAAUUGAGCUGAGGAUCUAUCUCUCUGUAUCCACGCACUAAAGAAGGGAUAAUAUUUUCAUGAUGCACUCUACACCUUAAAUUAAAAUUGUGUCAAAUAUAUCAAAAUGCUCUUUAAUCUUGCGGUUCAAAAUAACAAUCUUGUGGUUCAAAAUAUGUUAUGUGAAAAAUUGAAAUUAAAAUAUUGCAAAAAAAAAAAGAGUCAUUCUUUUUAAAAUAGACUAAAAAGAAAAAUAGUAUUAUAAAUGUAUUUACAUUAUAGUGAAUGUCUAUUAAGAUCUACUUGAUAUCUAUUAGGAUUUGAAAAUCUACUUUAAUAUCUAUUAGGAUUUGAAUCAUCCGUCUUUUACUUAGACUAGGAGUAAAUUUUCCCUAUAAAUAGAGAGGUUUUAUUCAUUGUAUUUACAAUCUGAUGAUCUCUCAUCCCUCAAGAGAAGAAAUAAGAAUCACUCUCUCUAUUCUCUAUUCUCUUUACUCUUCUUCUUUAUUCUUUCUUGUUUUAUAACACGUUAUCAGCACGAGACUCUGCCAAAUAAGGUGAGAUUAUAAAUCUAAGGGAUUUCAAGGUUAGUAAUUUUUUAUGUUAUCUUUCUUUUGCUACUACUAAUAUAAUUAUUAUUGGAUUUGAGGAAAAAUAAUUGGUUUAAAACCAUUUAUAUUUUGAAUUUAUUUCUCAAGAACAAUAUUAUCAAAAGAGAUAAUACUAUGUUGGGUUUAAGUCCCAUAGAUUUAUGCCUAAGACACUUUUAUAUGGAUAAGAUGUUGAGUUUGAAUCUCAAUGCACCAUAUUGAUAUACUAUGAUGACUAAGGCAAAAUAAUGGGUAUUUGAUGAAAAGUCAUGAAAUUCAACCUAUUAAAUAUGCUCCAUUCCAUAAAGUGAAUGUGGUAGCAAUAUAUGAUAAGUCUGAAAUAUGACAACUUACUUCAUUCUUGAGGUGUAUGUGGUAGCAGUGCAUAAUAUGUCUAAAAAAAGACAAGUGAUUGAAUGCACGAAUAUAUGCGUGGAGGGACAAUAUGAUAAUGAUCAUCAAAAGUGAUGAUAUUUUCACACGCUUAUAUGAUUAUAAGAUAUGCUAGAGAAAAAUUCUCUACAUCAUAUGUAUGCCUCGAUUUGCUUCUGACCUCCGAAAGAGGUUGAAUAAUUUUGAAAUCUACUUCUGAAGUAGUAAAUCUGAAAUUUAUUCAUGUAAUAGUAAAUCUGUAAUUUACUAAAGAAAAAGUAUAUGUCAUGGUAAACUUGAAGUUUACUAGAAUAAAAGUUCAUAAAUUGCUAUGAACGAUUGUGACAUCUCGAAGAUGUGCAUAUAUUAAAGAACUAGAAGAUUCUUCAAGAAUUGUUUAUGUCGUUUGUUCUCAUGACAAGUUGGUUGGACCAACUAAUAUUGGGAUUGGAUCCCUUCAAAUUUGAAAAUUAUAAAUGGUGAAUAAGGGUUCGUUCACCUAUCAUGUGAUAUGUUGAAAAGAUGCAUCAAUAAGAUGAUCACAUGUACAUUCAUGGUUAACCUACUUUUGACAUUCAUAAAGUUACUUGUUCAAUAUAAAUUGAGCAUAAUUUUCAUAUUGUGCAAUCAAGAAAGUUAUCUUGAUGAUGAUAGUUUGGCAUUGAAUGCAUUCGAUAAAUAACUAAACCAUCUCUAAUGAAAACAAAGCUUCAUGUGUUGGUCUGAAAUAUGAUAUAUACAAUAACACUUGUAUGCAUUAGACCAAUAAAUUAUGAUUAUUUUUUUCCUCUCAAUUGGUUCAAGGUUGGGAACCAAUUAUUCCAUCUAAUAAUUUUGAUGUGUGGUAUGUGAUUAAUGAAUAUACCACAAUGCACAAAGAUGAAUUCCUCAAAGAAGUAGAGGAUGUAUGCUAGUUUUCUUAACAUAAGGGGGAGAUUAUAAGCGCUAUGAAAUAUGUUAGGAAUUAUCACCAGAUCCUCAUCCAAAAGAUAAUUCAAGUCAAAUGCUGAAAGCAUCCCAUAUUAAGCGCAAGUGCUCUUAUUUUGUAUUCCUAAAGGAUAGAGUCUAUGCAUGCGUGAAGCGUGGUAGAUUAAUCGAUUCCAAAUGAAAUAGUUCUUGCAAAAUAAGGAGAAAAUAAUCAUAAUAAGAAGGUAAUGAGCUCUUGAAGAGCCUGCGACAUAACACUUCAUGAAACCUUAUGUAAGGUUCAUGUGCCUGAAAAUAAUGAAGAGAUGAGAUCUCAAAAUGUCAUGUCGCAUUGUGAACCGAUACAAAAUGAUAUAUCAUCAAUAUCUUUGACACAAUAUUNNNNNNNNNNNNNNNNNNNNNNNNNNNNNNNNNNNNNNNNNNNNNNNNNNNNNNNNNNNNNNNNNNNNNNNNNNNNNNNNNNNNNNNNNNNNNNNNNNNNNNNNNNNNNNNNNNNNNNNNNNNNNNNNNNNNNNNNNNNNNNNNNNNNNNNNNNNNNNNNNNNNNNNNNNNNNNNNNNNNNNNNNNNNNNNNNNNNNNNNNNNNNNNNNNNNNNNNNNNNNNAAAUAUAUCGAAUUGGAUUGGUUAUGAAGUACUAUAUUUUAGUGCAAUUGAUGCACUCAUGUACCUUGCAAAUACUACAAGGCCUAUAGCCUUUUCAGUCAAUUUGUUAGCAAGGUAUAUUUCUACUUCUACCUUGAGAUAUCAAAAUGGGAUAAAACACAUGAGCUUAUUUUAUUUUAAAGAUUGCAGUCCCGAUCUUAUUGGUAAUGCUGAUGAUGGGUACUUAUCUGACCCGCAUAAAUCUCGGUCUCAAAUAGGCUAUGUGUUCAUAUGUGGUGGUACUGCCAUAUCUUGGAGAUUUACAAAUCAGUCUAUCGUAGCUACUUCAUCGAAUCAUGCUGAGAUAAUAGCUAUUCAUGAAGUAAGCCGAGAAUGUGUAUGGUUGAGGUCCAUGAUACAUCUCAGUCGAGAAAAAUGUGGUGUGAAAUAUGACAAUCUACCCACAAUUUUAUAUAGAGAUAAUUCAGCAUACAUAGCACAUCUUAAGGGAAGAUUCAUAAAUGGAGAUAGAACGAAGCACAUUUUGCCAAAGCUUUUCUACAUACGUGAGCUACAAAAGAAUGAUGAUAUUAAUGUGUAACAAAUUUGUUCAACUGACAAUGUGACUGAUUUGUUCACCAAAUCUUCUCCAAUUGCAACUUUCAAGAAGAUGCUGCACAAGAUUGAGAUGCAAAGGUCAAGGAUAUUCUCAUUAGGGAGAGUUAAUACGCGCUUUACUCUUUUUCCCUUACGAGGUUUUGUCCCACUGGGUUUUCCUUGUAAGGUUUUUAAUGAGGCAUCCGAAAUACGUAUUAUUAGAGAUGUGUACUCUUUUUGCUUCACUAGAUUUUUUAUCCUACUAGGUUUUUUCUAGUGAGGUUUUAACGAGGCACAUUAUCUACCAAUUAGACAUUCAAGGGGGAGUGUUAUAAAUGUAUUUACAUUAUAGUGAAUGUCUAUCAAGAUCUAUCAAGAUCUACUUUGAUAUCUAUUAGGAUUUGAAGCAUCCAUCUUUUACUCAGACUAGAGUAAAUUUUCCUAUAAAUAGAGGGGUUUUGUUGAUUGUAUUUAUAAUCUGAUGAUCUCUCAUCCCUCAAGAGAAAAAAUAAGAAUCACUCUCUCUAUUCUCUUUACUCUUCUUCUUUAUUUGUUCUUGUUUUAUAACAAAUAGAUCAUUCCUUUUGAAACGGAGUACAUACUUAACAAUAUAACAAGAAAAUUUUUAGCAUGUGAUAGCAGGUUAGUCCUGUGCAAUUACUUUAUAAGUGGUAUAACCGUAUAAUUGUACAAAUAUUUCAAACUUAUCAGUUUAAGAUAUUAAAUUCUAGAUACUGGAUGAGUUUAAAAUAUGUAUACAAUUAUACCACUUAUAUAAGGUAAUGCGCAUAACAUGUUAGAUUUCCCAGCACUCAUUUCUGUUUUAUAUAAGAAAAGAAAUGUUUAGAUACUCCACACUUUCCAGUUAAUGUGGCAAGUUUAAAAUACGUACACAAUUAUACCACUUAUAAGGUUAUUGCACAUAACAUGUUAGAUUUCCCAGCACUCAUUUAUGUUUUAUAUAAGAAAUAUCUGAAUACUCCACACUUUCCAGUUAAUGUUGCAUUGUUUUAAUCAUUUUCAAAGGGAACUUUAAAAAGCACUUCCAUUUGUUUUAGUCUUAAUGGGAAAUUUUUAUAGCCACACAAAUAUUAAUUGAUAUUUAAGAAAACUUUAAGAUGUUAUAAUUAAGGAUGUCAUACCAACAUAAUCAUCAAAUUGCAAGAAGCAAUGCUUGAAAAAAACAUUCGAUGAAACAUAUAUGCAGAAGAAAAAAAGAGGAUUGGGAAAAUCAGUUGAAAAAGAUUAGUUAUACGCAGGGCCAAAGAUAAAAGAGAAGUUGAUAGGAUUGUAAUAGAGUUAUUUUUUGAGGAUGAAGUAGCAAAGUGCUUAAAUAGAAAGAUUGUGCGCAGGUAAUUUUGUUUUAGGAUUAAGACGUAGUUAUUACUGGAUUUUAUCCUACACAGAGAGUAAAAAUUGUCAAAGGAUCAACGUUACAUUAUAUUGUUCUGAGGUCAUCAUCUGAUACCAUGAGGCUCAAGAUCCAAAUUUGCGAGGUGACAAACAAAAAUCUAGAAUACAUUGAAAUCGAAAAUUUGAUUAGUUUAAUCAGAGAAUUUGUAAAUCAAUUGACCAGUCUAUCGACCAUCAACAAAGUUUAACCUAAUUCGUUGGUCUAUAUUGAGCUAAACCAUUGAAAUAAUACUAACAAUAAAUUAAACUACAUUGGAUAGCAAGGUAAUCAAGAAUUUGUGUACUUCAUCUAGAAAAUCAGACUACGACUUUCCACAAAUUCAUUUGUGGACUUGUCAGAGCUACCUCCUUCACUAACUGUUUUGUUAGCAUUUCUUAGCGUUUCGAGCUGAUUGCACAAUGACACAAUGAGUCCUUUUCCUUUUGUCGAUUCUAUGAAUUCUUUAGGCAAUUUGCAUUUUUCAGUAUCUCUUACAGUCCAAAGGAAAUUCAUUGCUGCCUAUUAAAGCAUAUGCCAUUUCUUCCAUUUGUUUUGGUGUGCGUGAUACCAUGCUUCCAAAGGAAAUGUAGAUUACUGAUUGAUUUGCCUUUGUAUUUAGCCAAUUGAGACAUUCUUCACUAAGGGGUUUCAAACACUUGCUCCAUGCCCUUUGUAACCUUCUAUUCUUCCAUCCAAAUAUGAUGAUGGGCACCAUUGGUCCUAUCAACUUUGCGGGCAAAAACUCUGAAACUCCACUUGCUCUCUGAAAUUAUACAUACCAAGUAAAAAAGAAAAAAGAUCUAUUAAUUUGAUACUCCCUCCGUUCCAAAUUACCCGUCCCAGAUUUCCUAAUUUAAUUUCCCGUUUUACUUGUCUUUUUUCAUUAAGACAAUUCCUUUUUUUUUUUUUUUUUCAUGUUUUACCCUUUGCAUUAAUUACUUUUUCUUUAAAUUAAAAUGUAAACAUUAUUUAAUAGGGGUACUAUAGUAAACUAGCUAUAUUAUUAAUUCUUUUUCUUAAUCAAUGUGUCAUCUCAAUGUAGAACGGAUAAUUUGGAACGAAGAGAGUAAUUUUUUUUUUUUGUUCAAUCAUUUGGUAUUCGAAUUCCAUUGAACUUGGAGACAUUAUUCAUUCAGAAAUUUAUGCAGAAUGACAGCUCACUACAAUUAUUUAUAAUUAAAAUGGCUCAAUUUUAUAAUAUGAUUUCGAAAACAACCUCUCUACUUCUUCGGAGGGAGAGAUAUGAAUUGCGUACAUCUUACCCUUCUCAUGCCCCACUCUGUGAAAAUACACUGAAUUUGUUGUUAUUGUUCUUAUAUGAUUCGAACUAGCCCGAUUUUUUCAUUUUCGGUAAGUAACACACAAAUAAAUUAGGCAAAAUGAUCUUCUGGACCCUUAUACUAUGUCGAUUUUGUAAGUUGAAUACCUCUACUUACAUGUUUGUCAUUUGGACCCCUGAACCCACAAAAAAGUAAUAUUUUAAACACUUUUUUGGUGAGUGUAAUACACUCUCGCCACGUCAGCUGCCAUGUCAUCUUCCACGUCAUUUUUAUAUAUAAAAAUAUUAAAUAUUAAAGUUGAUAACUAAAUAAAUAAAUAAAAACAAUCUCCCCACCCCCCACCUUCUUCCUCUCUUCUCUCUCUUCCCCUUUUCUUUCUCUUUCCCCGAUUCUUCUCCUUCUCUCUCUUUUUUCUUCUGUUUCUACUCUCUUUCUCUUCUCUUCUUCUUUUCUUCUCUUGCGUUUCUCUUCUUUUCUUUAUUCCACUUCUAAUGAAUCAAAAAAUGCAAUUAAAAUUGUUAGAUUUUAUAUAUAAAAAAAUCAUAUGAAUUCAAGAUCCAUAAUACCCAUUUUAUAUACUGAUUAUUUUAGUUAUUUGGUGUGAAAUUUUAGAUUUUUUUUUGUUAGCAGGUUAUUCCAUGGUAAAAUAAUGAACAUCUUUGGUUUUAUUCCUCUUCUUGAAUUUGUUUGAUCAGUUAAAUUAAGAGUAACUUAUGUCUUUGAGAUUUUGUUAGUAGAUUAUGAUUUCAUGGUAAAAUUGAAAUGAAAUUGAAAUUUGAGAUUUUUUUUCCUGAAUUGAUUCCAUGAUGUUUGGUUUGAAUUGAUUCCAUGGUAUUUGUGAUGCUGCAAUCAGGUAGGGUGGGGGCGGAAUGCUAGUGUGGUGGUGGUUGUGUUGCUUGGAGAGCGUGGAAGACGAGGUGGAGGAUGACGAGAGGGUAGAGGACGGGGGAACGGGGUGGGGGACGGGGAGGGUGCUGGAUGGGCGGUUGGGGGAGGGGGAGGGCCUUUUUUUAAUUUUACUUUUUAAAAAUAUUAUUUUUAAAAUUUUUAAAAAUAUUUUUAAAAUUAAAAAGCUGAAAAAAUGUUAAAUUUUUAAAAAAUAUCUUUUUUUAAUUUUUAAAAUUAUUUUUAAAUUUAAAAAGCUGAAAAAAUGUGCCUCACUCUCUCAGACUCGCGUGACUAGACGCGUUUUAGCUUAGUCAGCACUUUUAAUGCCACAUAGAUUGAGUCAACGGUCAAGGGUUUAAAAUAUUAAAUUUUAUUGAGUUGAAGAGUUCACAUGACAAACAUGUAAGUAGAAAUAUUCAACUUACAAAAUCAACAUAGUACAGGGGUCCAGAAGGUCAUUUUGCCAAUAAAUUACUUACCUCUAUGUUACCUAUUCUCUCUCUCUUACACACAAUUACUACACACAUUCAUCUCUCUCACCUUUACUCUUUUAUGCCUUUUUUUUCUCCCUUUCUUGUUCAAAUCUCUCUAAUUUUCGUAAGCUUGAGCAUCAAAUUAGGUAAAAUUUCUUCUUCUUUUUUAAUUAUUUGUUGUUAUUAAUCAAAGUAUGCUCAUUUUCUUCGAUUUAAGCUUCAAAUUAGGUUACUUAAAUGUUUAUUUGGUUAAUUUUUGUGUUGUUAAAGUUCAUUUGGCCUUGAUGUGAGCUUCCCUGUGUUUAAUUCAUCAUUAUUUGUUGAUUAUUUGAUGUUAUUGAUCAGCAUUUUCCUUCAAUUUUAGGUUUAUUUUGAGCUUCCCUGAGCAUUUUGGUAGUGAGAUUUGUCGAAAAAGCUGGUUGGAGCUCCAAUGUUGGCAACAGUUAGUACCUCGAUGGUUAAUAAAUCUUUUGAUCAUAAUCUGUUUGAUCAUACAAUUGAAAAAAUUGUUGUUUUAAAUUUAUUUUCAAAUAUCUGUUUGAUUAUAAAAUUUGAUCACAUUUCAAAAUACUAUCUUCAAAUAUUUGUUUAAUGAUAAAAUUUGAUCAGAUUUUAGUUUAUCUUUAAAUAUCUGUUUGAUAAUAAAAUUUGAUUAGAUUUUAAAAUUAUCUUUAAAGUAUUUUCAAGUCCAAAAAUUGGCUAAAGAUAAGUUUUUAAGAGAAAUUUCACUUCCACGCUCAAAGCUUCAAUUUUUUUUUUUUCCAAGUAAAAUGCACGUUCAAACACGA